RNAcentral lists this ribosomal RNA (504 nucleotides) under Patelloida mauritiana. Its description in RNAcentral is "partial 16S ribosomal RNA". It matches the Rfam family "Bacterial large subunit ribosomal RNA", at positions 1819 to 2601 of the family's 2925-position model. The record is from RNAcentral. Lineage: Eukaryota; Metazoa; Mollusca; Gastropoda; Lottiidae.
GGCUCUUAGAUUUAUAAUUAAGAGUCUGGCCUGCUCAGUGGAAAAUUAUUUUCUCAACAGCUAUGGUACCCUGACCAUACAAAGGUAGCAUAAUCAGUUGCCCCUUAAUUAGGGGCUGGUAUGAACGGUAUGACGAGAAUACUGCUGUUUCUUUCUAAUUCUGUUGAAAUUGUUUUUUAGGUGAAAAAACCUUGAUUUUAAUAUAUGACAAAAAGACCCUAUAAAGCUUUUUUUUAGUGUGUAGAGAAUUUGUUCUAUACAUAGAGUUUAGUUGGGGCGACUCUAGAAUAAAAAAAACUUCUAGUAGUUAUGUAAAAAAUUUACAAAUUUGUGACCAGAAAAAAAAUUUUUAUAUUAAAGGGAAAGUUACUUUAGGGAUAACAGGGCACUUCUUUUAUUGAGCACGUAUCUAAUAAGGAGUUUGCUACCUCGAUGUUGGAUUAAGGUAUCCUGGGGGUGUAUCCGCUCCAAAAGGUUGGUUUGUUAACCAUUAAAACCUUACAU